GGAUUAAUAUCCAUAGGAUUACCGGUUCGCAUGAAUUGGUAAUUAAAACUGCGGUGGUAUAAGAUGGGCAUGCGUCUGAUUAGGUAGUUGGUAGGGUAACGGCCUACCAAGCCGACGAUCAGUAGGGGUUCUGAGAGGAUUACCCCCCACACUGGUACUGAGACACGGACCAGACUCCUACGGGAGGCAGCAGUGAGGAAUAUUGGUCAAUGGGCGAGAGCCUGAACCAGCCAUCCCGCGUGCAGGAUGACGGCCCUAUGGGUUGUAAACUGCUUUUCUGCGCCAAGAAAACCUGUCAACGUGUUGACAGCUGACGGUAGCGCAGGAAUAAGCACCGGCUAACUCCGUGCCAGCAGCCGCGGUAAUACGGAGGGUGCAAGCGUUAUCCGGAUUCAUUGGGUUUA
Molecule: ribosomal RNA, 404 nt
Filed under: uncultured bacterium
Lineage: Bacteria
Description: bacterial SSU rRNA
Rfam family: Bacterial small subunit ribosomal RNA
Source: RNAcentral